RNAcentral lists this ribosomal RNA (460 nucleotides) under uncultured bacterium. RNAcentral describes it as "partial 16S ribosomal RNA". It matches the Rfam family "Bacterial small subunit ribosomal RNA", at positions 338 to 795 of the family's 1533-position model. The record is from RNAcentral.
CCUACGGGUGGCAGCAGUGAGGAAUAUUGGUCAAUGGACGAGAGUCUGAACCAGCCAAGUAGCGUGAAGGAUGACUGCCCUAUGGGUUGUAAACUUCUUUUAUAAAGGAAUAAAACGAGGCACGUGUGCCUUUUUGCAUGUACUUUAUGAAUAAGGAUCGGCUCACUCCGUGCCAGCAGCCGCGGUAAUACGGAGGAUCCGAGCGUUCUCCGGAUUGAUUGGGUUUAAAGGGAGCGUAGAUGGGUUGUUAAGUCAGUUGUGAAAGUUUGCGGCUCAACCGUAAAAUUGCAAGUGAUACUGGCAGUCUGGAGUACAGUUGAGGUAAGCGGAAUUCGUGGUGUAGCGGUGAAAUGCUUAGAUAUCACGAAGAACCCCGAUUGCGAAGGCAGCUUACUAAACUGUGACUGACAUUGAUGCUCGAAAGUGUGGGUAUCAAACAGGAUUAGAUACCCUUGUAGUC